UGCAGUCGUACAAGGUAACCAGAGCUUGCUCCCUGAGAUCAGCGGCGGACGGUUGAGUAACACGUGGGUAACCUGCCUGUAAGACUGGGAUAACUCCGGGAAACCGGGGCUAAUACCGGAUAAUUUAGUUCCUCGCAUGAGGAACUGUUGAAAGGUGGCUUUUCGCUACCACUUACAAAUGGACCCGCGGCGCAUUAGCUAGUUGGGGAGGUAACGGCUCACCAAGGCAACGAUGCGUACCCAACCUGAAAGGGGGAUCGGCCACACUGGAACUGAAACACGGCCCAAACUCCUACGGAAGGCAGCAGUAGGGAAUCUUCCGCAAUGGACAAAAGUCUGACGAAGCACCGCCGCGGGAGUGAAAAAGGUUUUCGAAUCGUAAAACUCUGUUGUUAGGGAAAAACAAGUGCCGUUCGAAUAGGGCGGCACCUUGACGGUACCUAACCAAAAAGCCACGGCUAACUACGUGCCAGCAGCCGCGGUAAUACGUAGGUGGCAAGCGUUGUCCGGAAUUAUUGGGCGUAAAGCGCGCGCAGGUGGUUUCUUAAGUCUGAUGUGAAAGCCCACGGCUCACCCGUGAAGGGUCAUUGGAAACUGGGAAACUUGAGUGCAAAAAAGGAAAGUGAAAUUCCAAGUGUAGCGGUGAAAUGCGUAAAUAUUUGAAGAAACACCAGUGGCGAAGGCAACUUUCUGGUCUGUAACUGACACUGAGGCGCGAAAGCGUGGGGAGCAAACAGGAUUAGAUACCCUGGUAGUCCACGCCGUAAACAAUGAUUGCUAAGUGUUAAAGGGUUUCCGCCCUUUAGUGCUGCAGCUAACGCAUUAAGCACUCCGCCUGGGGAG
Molecule: ribosomal RNA, 843 nt
Filed under: Bacillus sp. KSA33
Lineage: Bacteria; Bacillati; Bacillota; Bacilli; Caryophanales; Bacillaceae
Description: bacterial SSU rRNA
Rfam family: Bacterial small subunit ribosomal RNA
Source: RNAcentral